GGGAGAGAACACUCCAUCGGAGAGACAGUUUGGACAGGGAACACGGAUGGACAGAUGGAUGGAGAGGAAACUAGCAGACGAAGAGUAUCAGAAAGCCUGCGACGAGUCUCUGUUAUUUUGGGUGAUCAUUGCCAUUUCUCAUUUCUCUUUCUCGUGUUCAGAUGUCACUUAUCAAGGAUGAAUUCAUCUGAUGAACCUGUCCACAGCAGCAUUUGUCUACAUUGACUAUAGGCUCUGCCUUGUAACAAAUUUGUUUGCACCAGAAAUGCAGCCUUUGACUUCAACAGGAAAAAAAUGGAGAGCAUCCUCCACUGUUAAAGCUAUAUUUUCACCAACCAAAAAAAGAGGAUUUUACAGAGCAAGCUGGCCAGCAAAGUGAGGUUGAAGGAGACAAAUGAGGAGAUUCGCAGCCCACCUGAAGCCCUGGAGAACGCUGCCCGAGCAGGCAUGCCAGCGGAGGCCCCUACUAAUUAUCAGGCCUCCUCAUGACUGACAUCUGCCUCCUACCCCUCUAUUAGGACAUCACCAGCAGCUUGAAGGGGGGAAAAAAAACAUGGAGAACCCACACAACAACGAGGGCUACAUGCUAUCAAGGUGCCUAAACAGGUGAUUAAGUCUACAUUUUCUGGCCUCCUGAUGUGAGAAGUAAUACUGAUGUCGACUCUGGAGAAUGGAGGCAUGGUGAAGGUUCCUCUGGUGAGCGCCUGCCCUUUGGUGACCUUGUCCAUCUGAGGCAUCUGCGGCUCAGUGGAGCGUUUCCUGGCCGUCUCAUGCUCUAUCAGUCCCAAUGAAGGAACACAGCACCAGACCGGACCCGCAUGGCAAUAAGGGGUGCUGGAGUCAACCCGAUCCGACAGCCUAGCUCACCCCUCUGGUCUAAGGGUCAACGCUGGGGUCAUUCAGCACCUAGAGUCACCCUGGGUAAUUCUGGAUGCACUCAUGAUAUGAAGACUCCCUUGAUGUCCUUUCGAUUGGCAUUAUAUGCAAGGACAGGUUUAAUCAAAAGUGCAGGGAACAGGAGUCAUUCUGCCCUCGGUUCCUGCUGAAGACAGCCAUCAGACACAACAGGGUGAUGCUGGGUACAGUUGCCAUGGAAAUCCAAGUUCGUAGACCACAUGCCACAAGGUUCAGUGGCUCAAAAAAUCUCAAAUGAACUGAUGCAACAAUCUGCACACAAUUAACUCUCGCACUGCUUUUUCAGCUGUUUGCUUUGUAAAUGAAUGCCUUCUAUUUCAGUUCUGUUCCCCCUAGUUUACUAUAUACUUUUCUAAACUGCUAUUCUUGAGGCAUACAGCUGCAUUUUAU
This is a long non-coding RNA of Cyprinus carpio carpio, 1305 nucleotides long. Lineage: Eukaryota; Metazoa; Chordata; Actinopteri; Cypriniformes; Cyprinidae. The record is from Ensembl.